RNAcentral lists this long non-coding RNA (678 nucleotides) under Homo sapiens (human). Its description in RNAcentral is "HSALNT0179896". Lineage: Eukaryota; Metazoa; Chordata; Mammalia; Primates; Hominidae. The record is from RNAcentral.
AAAAACUCCAUACUGUGACCAUCUCCAAGCUCUGUCUUAUCCUUCUGUGAGUUUACCAUGUCAUCUAUCUGCAAUCUUUGGGGCAAGGCUGGAACAUAGGAAGGGAAGCCAGACCUGUGUCUAGGUUUGCCUAAAGAGAAGGUACUGCUUUUGGACAGUGAGUUUGUGGAAGCCUCGCCCGCAUCCUACAGCCCAGACGAGUUAGAAUGAUUUGUGCUUCAGGAAGGCCCAGGUAUUUGACCCUUUUUCAUCUCCAUAUCUCCCUCUGGGACUUACAGACUGGACUGCCCCCAUGAGGCACUGAUAAAUAUGAGUAUCCUUUCAAAUUAGCAGUAGAAAAUAAAAAACAAUGUUUUUUUCUCUUCAGCUCCCCUAUGGUAAAAGCCCAGUUUCUCAUGAGGAGAUUAGAGUGUGUGUCUUAGUCCAUUUGUGUUGUUAUAUCAAAAACAGAUUGGGUAGUUUGUAAACAGCAGAAAUUUAUUUCUCACAAGUUCUGGAGGCUGGGAAUUCUAAGAUCAAGAAACUGGCAGGUUCAGUGUCUGGUGAGGGCCUGCUUCCUGGUUCAUAGAUGUCUAUCUUCUCACUGUGUCCUCAACAUGGCAGAAAAGGGCCAGGGAGCUCUUGCGGUCUCUUUUCUAAGUGCCCUAAUCCCUCUGGUGAGAGCUCCACCCUUAUGAC